UAGGGAAUCUUCCACAAUGGGCGAAAGCCUGAUGGAGCAACGCCGCGUGAGUGAUGAAGGCCUUUGGGUUGUAAAACUCUGUCUUCUGUGACGAACAAGCCUGUGAGUGGAAUGCUCAGGCCCUGACGGUAACAGAGGAGGAAGCCACGGCUAACUACGUGCCAGCAGCCGCGGUAAUACGUAGGUGGCAAGCGUUGUCCGGAAUCACUGGGCGUAAAGCGCGCGCAGGCGGCGAUCUACGUCUGGGGUGAAAGCCCGGAGCUCAACUCCGGGACUGCCUUGGAUACGGGAUCGCUUGAGAAUUGGAGAGGCAAGGGGAAUUCCACGUGUAGCGGUGAAAUGCGUAGAUAUGUGGAGGAACACCUGUGGCGAAGGCGCCUUGCUGGCCAAUUUCUGACGCUGAGGCGCGAAAGCGUGGGGAGCAAACA
Molecule: ribosomal RNA, 428 nt
Filed under: uncultured Tumebacillus sp.
Lineage: Bacteria; Bacillati; Bacillota; Bacilli; Caryophanales; Alicyclobacillaceae
Description: bacterial SSU rRNA
Rfam family: Bacterial small subunit ribosomal RNA
Source: RNAcentral